This 73-nucleotide transfer RNA is filed under the name Capra hircus (goat). It matches the Rfam family "tRNA". From Rfam's summary of the family: Transfer RNA (tRNA) molecules are approximately 80 nucleotides in length. Their secondary structure includes four short double-helical elements and three loops (D, anti-codon, and T loops). Lineage: Eukaryota; Metazoa; Chordata; Mammalia; Artiodactyla; Bovidae. RNAcentral also lists the same sequence under 1 other name. The record is from Rfam by way of RNAcentral.
UCCCUGGUGGUCCAGUGGCUAAGACUCUGCACUCCCAAAGCAGGGAGCCUGGGUUCCAUCCCUGGUCAGAGAA